Drosophila melanogaster (fruit fly) is the source of this 832-nucleotide non-coding RNA. The record is from Ensembl. Lineage: Eukaryota; Metazoa; Arthropoda; Insecta; Diptera; Drosophilidae.
AGUGUUCAGUCUUCUGUCUUCUGUCUCAGCUGCGAUAUCUUGACUUUCUUCAAGUCUCUCUUCGAGCCAAAGCCACAGAGCUGUUACACAUUUGACUUUUCGGCGCUGCCGCAACUGGUUCGGUUUAUUUUUGGCUCUAAAUCUCGGACUAAGUCGCGGACUUCUCGAGACUGCAGCGCUGCUAAUGCAAAUCUAAAUUGAUUGCAAAAUGCUUAGAGUCCCGAGCAGACAAUCUUUCGAGUCGAUCGGCGUUGCCGGAUUGUUCGGCUUGUUCGAGUUAUAGGAGCUAGAUCGUUUUGAGAUAUGCCAAAGUGAGAGUUUAAUGAAAUCGAAGCACAAAAGUCAGGCUCUGCAGAUAACACACACAUGAGCUCCGUUUGACUCAUCGAUCUAUUUAAUAUUUUUAAAAAUUUUGUUUGUCCUUCAAAAUGUUUUAUUUGUUAUUUAGGCCUUGAUACUAUGAUUCCCCAAGCCUUACUCACCAUAUCAAUCAUACGCCUCGUGUGCCCAUCUGGCAACGCUAGCUGCCCAAAAUCCAUGCAGCAAACUCAAUUGAUGCCGCUGAUCUGGUUGUUGUUCUUGCCGCUGAUGUAAUUAAAAUAUUGCACUUGUUACUUUUACCAGCGGCUGUUCUGUCUCUUUCCCACAGCCUUUCUUCCCGUAUAUUGUGCUUGCCUCAGGAACACAAGUGCAACAAAACAAGCAGCCAAGGAGCAGAAAAAGCACAACAAGCACGCUGACAACAUCGACUUCAUCGUUCGCCGUGUGUCGUGUAUUAAAACUUGUUCAUUGGAAUUUUCUAAUAAAUCAAUAAACGCAGACAACACAGCGC